CUUCUCUCUGUAUAAUUAAGAAACCAUCGCCUAAUUACGGGGCUUGGGACCAGUACAGAUCGAUGCCCCAUCCGAAUCUAUCUUCUACGACUGUUAAUCUCUUACGCAAUCGCUGAGAUGAUCGGCUGAUCGUGUCAUAAUUUCAGUGCUCAAGGUCUAAAUCGUGUGAAUCGCCAGAUUACCAAUUUGAGCGAGAUCUACCGUUCUUAGUUGAGAAAAACGGCGAGUAAGCCGUGUAUCGCUCCUAUUUUGUCCUAACCGCGAUAGCCACAAUGACGAUCUCAAAAUUUAGAAGAACGGCGAACCAUCGGUUGUUUAUACGCAAAGAACGAAACAAAAUUCAGUUCAUCCAAGCAAGAUAAGUGACUACCUUCUCUUCUCCUAAUAUUUUAUAGAUGUUUACAAUUACACGUUCGAGAAUUUUAGCUAAAAUUUGAGUACAUAGUCUAUAGACAUCACAAAUACUGUAAAUACCUAAAUUGAGUUUAAUUUAGGGUUUAUUAAUAUACAUACAACAACAUUAAUGAGUUCGGUAUGUUAUAUCAUUCGUGUAGUAAUAUGUUGAAUUCUAGCUUGAUUUUCGUGUUAAAGAAAGUAUGAAAAUCACCUAUAUUUACAGUAAAACAAUGUAUUACUCCUAAUUUUUUUUGGCUGUAAUUUUGCAGGUAAUAGCACUUAGAUUCACCAAGUUAUCAGAAUAAAAUCCAGGUCAUUAUUGAUAAAACUAUACUAAAUAACAGGAACAUAAAAAUCUCCACUCUGCCAAAAGAUUGCAAGGUGCCAAAAAGGUUUUAAGUUAUAAAAGAAUUAGCAGAUUUACCAUUCACAGUCUUGGCUCGACAAAGCUGGAUCAAAACAAUCACGGGCUCUGGUUAUGUUGAAUUAAAAUAUGGUAGCAUGGCAUCAACGUGAUCAUCCUAGAUGGUGCACUUCAGCUGUCUCUCCCUGGUGUACAGAUAAGUAUUAGUUCAUAUCUUAGUUUUUGGUACUUAUAAUAACAAUAAUAACCAAGUACUUACUCACUGUCCUGAAUUAAAAAAUCCAUCAGCCUUGAUGGUUUCCCAGCAAUUAACUUUUCAACUGGAGAAUGUAUCUCCACAACUCUGCCCAUGAUGUCUUUACAGAUAAUAGGUAGAAAGGAAAAUCAUUAUUUUGAGACAUGUUUUUUUAAAUAAAUAAAAUGAAUUGACAGUAUAACAUGAAAAAUAUAUAUACCAAAUAAUUCCUUAUCAUUUAGAGUAGUUGAAUCCAUCAGUGAUUGAAAAGACUUGAGUCGAAACAUGAAAUUAGGAAAUUUCCUGGUCUUACAUUCUUUGACAGUGGUAGAAUAAUUGAACUUUAUUAGAUAUUUGUGAGUAGAUGUCUUGUAUGUAUAGUAGUUUGUCACUACUAAAAAGUUCUUGAUAGAAUAAACUCUCCCCUCAACAAAAACACUACGAUACUUGACAACAUCUUCUCUGGAAAUAGUACCAUGUAUGUAUGUACCCUAUAUAAUAACUCAUAAUAUAUAAUUAGUAAAAAAAAGCUUUUAAAAAUCCAGUAACUACAUUCAUAAAACAUACUUACAACAUUAAACUUACCUCCUCAUCGUGGAAGAGACAUUCUUUGCUCUUACUAAUCGCUUGUCCACGUAAUGCAUGUACUUCAUAACUUCGCACCAACCGCACUCGUAUUGCUCUACGGGUGUGAAUAGGGCUAACCUGAGAAGCAAGAACAUAUUGAGAGGGCAUUUCGAAAUUAUUUUUGCAGAGUUCCUCUUUCAGAAUAUGUAGUUUGUGAUGAAUCCCUCUCAUAUUAAUGUACUAUUUAUACUCUAAUUUUCAUUCAGAUUCAAAAUAGAAUCAUUACUAUUCGUAAUUAAUAUCCUUGGGAUAUUGAACAGUUUUGUGGGCUUAAAUUAAUUCAGGGACUAUGUGUAUUCUGCAUUCA
This is a long non-coding RNA of Ipomoea triloba (trilobed morning glory), 1929 nucleotides long. RefSeq lists it as uncharacterized. NCBI's taxonomy places the organism in Eukaryota, Viridiplantae, Streptophyta, Magnoliopsida, Solanales, Convolvulaceae. The record is from RefSeq and is a predicted model, not a curated record. The transcript is spliced from 3 exons.